AACGAACGCUGGCGGCAGGCCUAACACAUGCAAGUCGAACGCCGUAGCAAUACGGAGUGGCAGACGGGUGAGUAACGCGUGGGAACAUACCCCUCGGUUCGGAAUAACUCAGGGAAACUUGAGCUAAUACCGGAUACGUCCGAGGUUUUGAUCGACCUUGGAGAAAGAUUUAUCGCCGAAGGAUUGGCCCCGCGUCUGAUUAGCUUGUUGGUGAGGUAAUGGCUCACCAAGGCGACGAUCAGUAGCUGGUCUGAGAGGAUGAUCAGCCACAUUGGGACUGAGACACGGCCCAAACUCCUACGGGAGGCAGCAGUGGGGAAUAUUGGACAAUGGGCGAAAGCCUGAUCCAGCCAUGCCGCGUGAGUGAUGAAGGCCUC
RNAcentral lists this ribosomal RNA (377 nucleotides) under uncultured bacterium. RNAcentral's name for it is "bacterial SSU rRNA". It matches the Rfam family "Bacterial small subunit ribosomal RNA", at positions 29 to 418 of the family's 1533-position model. The record is from RNAcentral.